AUUUUUACAAUGAAGAGUUUGAUCCUGGCUCAGGAUGAACGCUAGCUACAGGCUUAACACAUGCAAGUCGAGGGGCAGCAUGGUCUUAGCUUGCUAAGACUGAUGGCGACCGGCGCACGGGUGAGUAACACGUAUCCAACCUGCCUUAUACUCCCGGACAGCCUUCUGAAAGGAAGAUUAAUACGGGAUGGUAUCACGAGCCAGCAUUUUCUCGUGAUUAAAGAACUUCGGUAUAAGAUGGGGAUGCGUUCCAUUAGAUAGUAGGCGGGGUAACGGCCCACCUAGUCGACGAUGGAUAGGGGUUCUGAGAGGAAGGUCCCCCACAUUGGAACUGAGACACGGUCCAAACUCCUACGGGAGGCAGCAGUGAGGAAUAUUGGUCAAUGGGCGCGAGCCUGAACCAGCCAAGUAGCGUGAAGGAUGACUGCCCUACGGGUUGUAAACUUCUUUUAUAAAGGAAUAAAGUGAGGCACGUGUGCCUUUUUGUAUGUACUUUAUGAAUAAGGAUCGGCUAACUCCGUGCCAGCAGCCGCGGUAAUACGGAGGAUCCGAGCGUUAUCCGGAUUUAUUGGGUUUAAAGGGAGCGUAGAUGGGUUGUUAAGUCAGUUGUGAAAGUUUGCGGCUCAACCGUAAAAUUGCAAUUGAUACUGGCAGCCUUGAGUACAGUUGAGGUAGGCGGAAUUCGUGGUGUAGCGGUGAAAUGCUUAGAUAUCACGAAGAACUCCGAUUGCGAAGGCAGCCUACUAAACUGCCACUGACAUUGAUGCUCGAAAGUGUGGGUAUCAAACAGGAUUAGAUACCCUGGUAGUCCACACGGUAAACGAUGAAUACUCGCUGUUUGCGAUAUACUGCAAGCGGCCAAGCGAAAGCGUUAAGUAUUCCACCUGGGGAGUACGCCGGCAACGGUGAAACUCAAAGGAAUUGACGGGGGCCCGCACAAGCGGAGGAACAUGUGGUUUAAUUCGAUGAUACGCGAGGAACCUUACCCGGGCUUGAAUUGCACUCGAAUAUAGCGGAAACGUUAUAGCUAGCAAUAGCGAGUGUGAAGGUGCUGCAUGGUUGUCGUCAGCUCGUGCCGUGAGGUGUCGGCUUAAGUGCCAUAACGAGCGCAACCCUUGUCUAUAGUUACUAACAGGUCAUGCUGAGGACUCUAUGGAGACUGCCAUCGUAAGAUGUGAGGAAGGUGGGGAUGACGUCAAAUCAGCACGGCCCUUACGUCCGGGGCCACACACGUGUUACAAUGGGGGGUACAGAGGGCCGCUACCACGCAAGUGGAUGCCAAUCCCGAAAGCCUCUCUCAGUUCGGACUGGAGUCUGCAACCCGACUCCACGAAGCUGGAUUCGCUAGUAAUCGCGCAUCAGCCAUGGCGCGGUGAAUACGUUCCCGGGCCUUGUACACACCGCCCGUCAAGCCAUGGGAGCCGGGGGUACCUGAAGUGCGUAACCGCAAGGAGCGCCCUAGGGUAAAACUGGUGACUGGGGCUAAGUCGUAACAAGGUAGCCGUACCGGAAGGUGCGGCUGGAACACCUCCUUUCU
Molecule: ribosomal RNA, 1537 nt
Filed under: Phocaeicola sartorii
Lineage: Bacteria; Pseudomonadati; Bacteroidota; Bacteroidia; Bacteroidales; Bacteroidaceae
Description: Bacteroides sartorii 16S ribosomal RNA
Rfam family: Bacterial small subunit ribosomal RNA
Source: RNAcentral